AGCUCGUAGGCGGUUUGUCGCGUCUGCUGUGAAAUCUGGGGGCUCAACCCCCAGCCUGCAGUGGGUACGGGCAGACUAGAGUGCGGUAGGGGAGAUAGGAAUUCCUGGUGUAGCGGUGGAAUGCGCAGAUAUCAGGAGGAACACCGAUGGCGAAGGCAGAUCUCUGGGCCGUAACUGACGCUGAGGAGCGAAAGCAUGGGGAGCGAACAGGAUUAGAUACCCUGGUAGUCCAUGCCGUAAACGUUGGGAACUAGAUGUGGGGGCCAUUCCACGGUCUCCGUGUCGCAGCUAACGCAUUAAGUUCCCCGCCUGGGGAGUACGGCCGCAAGGCUAAAACUCAAAGGAAUUGACGGGGGCCCGCACAAGCGGCGGAGCAUGCGGAUUAAUUCGAUGCAACGCGAAGAACCUUACCAAGGCUUGACAUAUACCGGAAACGUCCAGAGAUGGUCGCCCCGCAAGGUCGGUAUACAGGUGGUGCAUGGUUGUCGUCAGCUCGUGUCGUGAGAUGUUGGGUUAAGUCCCGCAACGAGCGCAACCCUCGUUCUAUGUUGCCAGCACGUUAUGGUGGGAACUCAUAGGAGACUGCCGGGGUCAACUCGGAGGAAGGUGGGGAUGACGUCAAAUCAUCAUGCCCCUUAUGUCUUGGGCUUCACGCAUGCUACAAUGGCCGGUACAAAGGGCUGCGAUACCGUAAGGUGGAGCGAAUCCCAAAAAGCCGGUCUCAGUUCGGAUUGAGGUCUGCAACUCGACCUCAUGAAGUCGGAGUCGCUAGUAAUCGCAGAUCAGCAACGCUGCGGUGAAUACGUUCCCGGGCCUUGUACACACCGCCCGUCAAGUCAUGAAAGUCGGUAACACCCGAAGCCAGUGGCCUAACCCUUGUGGAUGGAGCUGUC
RNAcentral lists this ribosomal RNA (893 nucleotides) under Frigoribacterium sp. RNAcentral describes it as "bacterial SSU rRNA". It matches the Rfam family "Bacterial small subunit ribosomal RNA", at positions 566 to 1457 of the family's 1533-position model. The record is from RNAcentral. Lineage: Bacteria; Bacillati; Actinomycetota; Actinomycetes; Micrococcales; Microbacteriaceae.